This 378-nucleotide unclassified non-coding RNA is filed under the name fungal sp. RNAcentral's name for it is "partial internal transcribed spacer region". Lineage: Eukaryota; Fungi. The record is from RNAcentral.
AAGUCGUAACAAGGUUUCCGUAGGUGAACCUGCGGAACAACGUUAAACCCCCCCGUGAACCUUCAGUGCGCUCGCACUUUCUUAGAAAAGGUAGCAAUCCCUGGUAAAUCAUUGCCGAACAGUUUUGAUUCAGGGACUUCUGCGUAGACUGUGCUUGAGCGUGAGGCAAGUGGCCUGGCAUUCCUCUGCUUGUUGGUGUCUGAAAGUGUCACCAGCUCUGUACGAAUGGCGCAGUCACGAUCGCUAGAGGCCGACACGGCCGGCGACCGGGUCACUGGGCGCGAGCCCCCCUCGUCACCUUUGCAUGAAAACGGGCCUGCGCUUAAUUGUGCGGCCACCAAACUCGAACAACUGUUAACAAUGGAUAUCUUGGUUCUC